AAAAAGAUAAACCUUGGUUUCCGUGUCCAACGUUUGACCGUCCGUCUUAUUUGAAAAAAUUAUGAAAAAAAUUAAAAAGACAAGUCACGCAUAAAAUAUUAAUCAUGUUUUAUCAUCUAACAACAAUGAAAAUACGAAUUAUAAAAAAAUUUCAUAUAAGACGGACAGUCAAAGUUGGACACGGAAAUCUAGGGUUUGCCUUUUU
This 205-nucleotide microRNA precursor is filed under the name Oryza nivara. Its description in RNAcentral is "MIR812 microRNA precursor family". It matches the Rfam family "MIR812 microRNA precursor family". Lineage: Eukaryota; Viridiplantae; Streptophyta; Magnoliopsida; Poales; Poaceae. The record is from Rfam by way of RNAcentral.